This 693-nucleotide ribosomal RNA is filed under the name Virgibacillus pantothenticus. RNAcentral's name for it is "bacterial SSU rRNA". It matches the Rfam family "Bacterial small subunit ribosomal RNA", at positions 525 to 1217 of the family's 1533-position model. Lineage: Bacteria; Bacillati; Bacillota; Bacilli; Caryophanales; Bacillaceae. The record is from RNAcentral.
ACGUAGGGGGCGAGCGUUGUCCGGAAUUAUUGGGCGUAAAGCGCGCGCAGGCGGUCUUCUAAGUCUGAUGUGAAAGCCCACGGCUUAACCGUGGAGGGUCAUUGGAAACUGGAGGACUUGAGUACAGAAGAGGAGAGUGGAAUUCCACGUGGAGCGGUGAAAUGCGUAGAGAUGUGGAGGAACACCAGUGGCGAAGGCGACUCUCUGGUCUGUAACUGACGCUGAGGUGCGAAAGCGUGGGUAGCGAACAGGAUUAGAUACCCUGGUAGUCCACGCCGUAAACGAUGAGUGCUAGGUGUCAAGGGGUUUCCGCCCCUUGGUGCUGCAGUUAACGCAUUAAGCACUCCGCCUGGGGAGUACGGCCGCAAGGCUGAAACUCAAAAAGAAUUGACGGGGGCCCGCACAAGCGGUGGAGCAUGUGGUUUAAUUCGAAGCAACGCGAAGAACCUUACCAGGUCUUGACAUCCUCUGACAACCCUAGAGAUAGGGCAUUCCCUUCGGGGACAGAGUGACAGGUGGUGCAUGGUUGUCGUCAGCUCGUGUCGUGAGAUGUUGGGUUAAGUCCCGUAACGAGCGCAACCCUUGAUCUUAGUUGCCAGCAUUAAGUUGGGCACUCUAAGGUGACUGCCGGUGACAAACCGGAGGAAGGUGGGGAUGACGUCAAAUCAUCAUGCCCCUUAUGACCUGGGCUAC